Molecule: RNA transcript, 2495 nt
Organism: Mangifera indica (mango)
Lineage: Eukaryota; Viridiplantae; Streptophyta; Magnoliopsida; Sapindales; Anacardiaceae
Gene name: exopolyphosphatase
Exons: 9
Source: RefSeq, a predicted model, not a curated record
CUGUGAAAACUAUUUAGUUCCAAAAGAUUAUUUUUAUUGAAACCCACCAUCUCAGGUAACAACUUUUGUUGUCACGUCAUCUUCUCCAAUCCAUUGAUCAAACGCAGCAGAGCCAUGGCCACUAAAUUUCCAUCUCUCCAAACCCCAAAAACCCUCUUUGCUUCCGUUGACAUGGGCACGAAUUGUUUCAAGCUUCUCAUUAUUCGAGCUUAUCCCAGCGGGAAGUUCUUAAUUUUGGACCGUGUUAAAGAACCUGUGACUCUUGGUCGCGACUUCACAUCAUCUUUGUCUUUGCACAUCUCCAGUGAGUCAUUGUCUCGCUCAGUUGAAUCUUUACUUAAGUUUAGAAAGUUGAUUGAAUCUUACAACGUGGAGAAGGAUCAAACACGUGUUGUUGCAACUGCAGCUGCACGUGAAGCUAAAAAUAAGGAACAGUUUGUUAAGAGUGUUGAGGAGAAUGCUGGGUUUGAAAUUGAUGUGUUGAGUGGUGAAGAGGAAGCUGAGUUUGUGUAUCUGGGUAUGCUACAGUUUUUGCCGGUUUAUCAUAAAUUAGUUUUGGGGGUUGAUAUUGGAGGUGGGUCCACUGAGUUUGUUGCUGGGAAGAGAGGGAAGAUUGUGUUUUGUGAGUCAUUGAGGCUGGGGCAUGUGGGGUUGAGUGAAAAGUUUGGAACUUGUGAGAGUGAAAUUGUGAAAAUGAGGGAGUUUAUUAGGAUGGUUGUGAAAGAAAGUGGGUUGGUUGAGAGAGUGAGGCAGAGUGGUUUUGAGGUGGCUGUUGGUUGUUCCGGUACUAUUAGGGCUAUUGAGAAGGCGGUUUUUAAUGGUUAUGAUCAGAAGUUUGUGGAUAAUGUGGGGGUUUUGCGGGACUGUAAGAGGGAUUGGAGACUAAGUAGAGAGGGAUUGAAGAGUGUAGUUGAUAGGUUGUGUUCUGGAGGAGGAGAAGGAGAGAGGGUUAGGAAAGAGAGGUUUUUUAAGAGGAGAUCGGAGUUUAUUGUUGCAGGUGCGGUGUUGUUAGAUGAGAUUUUUGAGUUGCUUGGGAUCAAAGAAAUGGAGGUUUCUGGCUAUGGAUUGGCAGAGGGUGUUAUUGCUGAUAGCUUGUCUAAGAUCUUUGAUGGAUAUGAUUUGAAUGCAAAUGCUAGGUGGCAUUCAGUGAUUCAACUUGCAAUGAGGUUUAGUGGUACAAAGAAGAUGAGAUAUGCUGCACAAUGUGCUAGCAUUGCAAAGGAUAUUUUUGAAGGUUUAAGAAAAUGUGAUGAGCUUGCCAACAGUCAAGUUAAAUUUGGUGUCUCCUUGGAUAACAAAGAUCUUGAAUAUCUUGAAGCUGCAUCUUUGCUUCACAGUAUGGGACUCUUCAUCAGUAAAAAGGGCUAUCACAAGAAGUCUUGUGAAAUCAUUAUGAAUGGUGAUCAUCUUUAUGGAUACAGUACUGAGGAAAUCAAGUUAAUUGCACUGCUUACUAGAUAUCACCGAAAGAAAUUUCCCAAAUUUAGUCAUUCUCCUUUAAAGGAGUUUUCUGGAGAGGUAAAGCAGAAAUUCAAAAUGCUUUGUGCAAUACUGCGCAUAUCUGUUAUAUUACAGCAGAAUGAAUCUGUGAAUCUACAGGAGUUGGAAGUUUUUUGUUCUCAUGAAGGUUUUAAGCUGGUAAUCCAGGAAGCAAGGGGUCAACCUUCUUUCCAUGGUAUAUCACAGCCCACGGCAGAGGACAUUGAGGCACAACUAAGGCAAGAGUUAAAAUACUUUAAAAAGGUGUUCAAGCAAGAAUUGUUGAUUAUAAUUCCACCGUCUAGUUCAAUUGACUCUAAAGAUAAAGUUACUUCUAAAAGAGAUGUCGAUCACUUGUAAACAAUUAUAGGUCAUACUAGAUUCUAUAAUCUCUGCAUGAUUAAUAGCCUUAGCGAGGAGUUGCAACCGAUGUAUAGUUUUACUCUGAUUCGAAGUGGGUUGGAGUCCUUUUCUGGCCAACACGUAAGGAAGCAUAUUGUCAUCACCUCUCACACUUAGUUCCUUGUCUUCUUUGAAUCAAGAAAACUUGCAGAAAUACAGAACUAGAAGGAGCAGCGCUUUCAGGUAGCUGAUUUCUAUACAGAACUUGAAGAAACAGAGCCUUUCAAAAGGAGGGUGGUGCUGGUCCAGGCUAUAUUCCAUAUGUGAAAGAUGCAGGGUGGUAACAUUCUUGGUUGGGUUUUUCGGAUUCGAAGUAUCAACAUCAUUGUUGUUACAUGCAACUAUAUUAUAAUAACUAUAGUAUAUAAAAUAGUCUAUAAUAUUACCAUCUCCCUGCUAGGACAGGAACACUUGUCCCAUUUUUAGAGUUUAGAUUUUAUUAUAUAGAGGGAUAGUUAGGGUUAUCAAGGGGAUAAUGAAGAAAAAUUAGGGAUUUUUGGACAACCUUAGGAUUGUGGACAGCCUUAGGGCUAAUGGGAGGUCUCCAUCAAAUUGUCUAGUUUAUCCAUGUAAAUACCCUUUUCUGAAUAAAAUAAUUUAUGGUUUCUCUAUUA